This 432-nucleotide ribosomal RNA is filed under the name uncultured bacterium. RNAcentral's name for it is "partial 16S ribosomal RNA". It matches the Rfam family "Bacterial small subunit ribosomal RNA", at positions 29 to 507 of the family's 1533-position model. The record is from RNAcentral.
AGCGAACGCUGGCGGCAGGCCUAACACAUGCAAGUCGAACGAACUCUUCGGAGUUAGUGGCGGACGGGUGAGUAACACGUGGGAACGUGCCUUUUGGUUCGGAAUAACUCAGGGAAACUUGUGCUAAUACCGAAUGUGCCCUUCGGGGGAAAGAUUUAUCGCCAUUAGAGCGGCCCGCGUCUGAUUAGCUAGUUGGUGAGGUAACGGCUCACCAAGGCGACGAUCAGUAGCUGGUCUGAGAGGAUGACCAGCCACACUGGACUGAGACACGGCCCAGACUCCUACGGGAGGCAGCAGUGGGGAAUCUUGCGCAAUGGGCGAAAGCCUGACGCAGCCAUGCCGCGUGAAUGAUGAAGGUCUUAGGAUUGUAAAAUUCUUUCACCGGGGACGAUAAUGACGGUACCCGGAGAAGAAGCCCCGGCUAACUUCGUG